GGAAGGGUACUCGAAGCGGCCGAACGAGGUCCGGGGAAACCCGGUCGGGCUCACGCCCACGCAGGUUCGAAUCCUGCUCCUUCCG
This 85-nucleotide transfer RNA is filed under the name Streptomyces stramineus. RNAcentral describes it as "tRNA-Phe". It matches the Rfam family "tRNA". Rfam says of the family: Transfer RNA (tRNA) molecules are approximately 80 nucleotides in length. Their secondary structure includes four short double-helical elements and three loops (D, anti-codon, and T loops). Further hydrogen bonds mediate the characteristic L-shaped molecular structure. tRNAs have two regions of fundamental functional importance: the anti-codon, which is responsible for specific mRNA codon recognition, and the 3' end, to which the tRNAs corresponding amino acid is attached (by aminoacyl-tRNA synthetases). tRNAs cope with the degeneracy of the genetic code in two manners: having more than one tRNA (with a specific anti-codon) for a particular amino acid; and 'wobble' base-pairing, i.e. permitting non-standard base-pairing at the 3rd anti-codon position. RNAcentral also lists the same sequence under 16 other names. Lineage: Bacteria; Bacillati; Actinomycetota; Actinomycetes; Kitasatosporales; Streptomycetaceae. The record is from RNAcentral.